UAAAUGGGGUAAUAAAAUAAAGUUUUGCAUAGUAUUAUAUUUUUUAGUGAUUUGUUGAGAAAUGUUUGGAAAAAAGUUUUUUAUAUGUUUUUUUAUUUUUAAUUUGUUUUAUGAAAUUUCGCAACCUCGCAAAAUAAAAAAUGAUCUCAAGAAAGAUAUGGAAGGGUUGGACGAAGAUCACCAUGUUGAGGAUUUAGAAUCAUCAAAUGAAGAAAACCACGAUAUCUCUAUAAACGACCUAAUUAAAAAUGGCCGAAUAAAGUCAGUUAAGGAAAUUCAAUAAAUACUAAUCAAAAAUUGUUACAAAUGCAUAAAAAUGUUGAGAAGUAUGUUGAAUGCUUUGAUGGUUCAAGGUUUUAUCUUGCUUUUUUUCAAAAAGGAAACCAAUAAAAAGUUCUUCUUAUUGGGUUUCCAACAACAUUAAAGUAUUGUCAAAUAAUGACAAGUAAUUGACAACAAAAUUUUAAUGGCAAGUAAUUGACAACAAAAUGUUUAUAAUGAUAGAGUUUUAAUUGAAUAAAAGAUGCCAAACAAAAUAAUUUGGUCGGAAUUUUCUUUUGGUCUCUAUUGAAUUACAGAUAAAAGCAGCUACAUAGUUUAGCUAUAGAAAGAUGAUAAUGAAAACCUUUUCACCAUUCCAAACGUAUGACAAGUUAAAUAUCCUUUUUCAUGUUACAAUUAUGGUCGAUGAGAGGAAUAGAAUAAAAUGGGUGGAAUUUUUCCAUUAACACCUUCAAAAUUAUUGAUUUAAAAAAAAUAUAUAAAAGAUUAUAUACAACUAUAAACUUAUAAAAAAGUAUAUGCAUACGCACCAUAUAUACGCCAACCAAUAGUACCGUUAGAUGUAUCUAUAUUCGCAUAUCAAUAAGUGUAUAUAUAGAUUAACAGAUAGACGUUUAAAACAUA
Non-coding RNA from Hydra vulgaris (swiftwater hydra), 906 nucleotides. The record is from RefSeq and is a predicted model, not a curated record. NCBI's taxonomy places the organism in Eukaryota, Metazoa, Cnidaria, Hydrozoa, Anthoathecata, Hydridae.